CCUACGGGAGGCUGCAGUGAGGAAUAUUGGUCAAUGGACGAGAGUCUGAACCAGCCAAGUAGCGUGAAGGAUGACUGCCCUAUGGGUUGUAAACUUCUUUUAUAUGGGAAUAAAAUGUUCCACGUGUGGGAUUUUGUAUGUACCAUAUGAAUAAGGAUCGGCUAACUCCGUGCCAGCAGCCGCGGUAAUACGGAGGAUCCGAGCGUUAUCCGGAUUUAUUGGGUUUAAAGGGAGCGUAGGUGGAUUGUUAAGUCAGUUGUGAAAGUUUGCGGCUCAACCGUAAAAUUGCAGUUGAAACUGGCAGUCUUGAGUACAGUAGAGGUGGGCGGAAUUCGUGGCGUAGCGGUGAAAUGCUUAGAUAUCACGAAGAACUCCGAUUGCGAAGGCAGUUCACUGGACUGCAACUGACACUGAGGCUCGAAAGUGUGGGUAUCAAACAGGAUUAGAUACCCUUGUAGUC
This 460-nucleotide ribosomal RNA is filed under the name uncultured bacterium. Its description in RNAcentral is "partial 16S ribosomal RNA". It matches the Rfam family "Bacterial small subunit ribosomal RNA", at positions 338 to 795 of the family's 1533-position model. The record is from RNAcentral.